GAGCCCGCGGGAGCUGCUGCCGCUCCCUCAGUGCUGCGGGGACAGCGAACUGGGUCCUGCAGCGUCACACCAAGCUGCACCGCUGCCGCUGCCGAGCGCCUCUGUUCUCUACGUUCUUUCACUGUUGAUACUUCAGUAAAUGUCUGUUGUGACAUUGCAGUCCUGCCAGGCUUCUAGCAUAUAAGGAUACAUACAGUACAUCUGAGUUGAAGGCUGGAGGAGACCUUUGCCAUCAUCUGAUGUGAUGCCUUCAGGACACCAAGCCAAGGAGCUUUCCUGCCUGGAAACCAUCUGGCAGCCAUACAGGCCAGCUCUUGGACAGAGCAUGGCUUGAAGGCGACUAGCUUGGAAACUGGUGCUGGCAGAUGAGGUAGCAACAUCUGCAGGAGCUGCUUGUCCACAGGAGGCAGCUGCACCUCAGGAGUCUCUUGGGGCCAUGGGAGGGUGACCUCCCUGUGGGCAGGUGCUGCAGGCACCAGUGGUGGAGCCAUGAGAGAGCUCAGCAGCAGAACUGGGGCUGGCUCCACAAGCAAAGGUGUACAGGGCCCCUCUGACUGCACAGAACCUUGCCCUGUGCUUUUCCUGCUACAAAACCACAUCUGGAGGCAGGGUCUGGGCUGGACUCUACUCCCAGGACCUCCAUCUCAUGCCAGAAGUCCUAUCCUGCACCGAGGAGCAUCCUGGUUGGGAAUGCAACCAUAUGAGCAGGCAGGGCUGGAGAGGUGGGGUGCUGACAAAAAGGAGCAGUGAUUUCAAAAUACAAUUUUUAAAAAUUUUUGACAAAGCUCUGCAACACUGAGGAUUAAGCGCAGUUCAUAAACCAGUGAAUAAGCUUCCUACAGUAGCAGUGUGUUAGAUUGGGUGGAAAAGUCCAAUGGAAAAGUGUCCAGGAAACAUCUUUCAUGCCUGCACGUUAAAUUUAGUAUUCCAGCCCCGUCUUUUAGGACUUGGCAUUCAUCUACUAAAAAAAAUGUUGAUCUGAAAGAAAAAGAGAGGGAAAAAACCCCCAGUCUACUAUAACAGUUUGCUUGACAAAAUGGGGAGACUUGAGGAAUUAAUUGUGUGUGAGUUACAAAGAGCCAUCCUGCGCUGUAGACACUGGGCCUGUAUUUGUCACUCUCGCUCCCAGUCCAGCACUGUCCCAUUGGCCUCUUCAUUCAGCACAGCUAUCUGUCAUGAAGAAUUUAAGUUUCAUAUUUUCAUCUGUCAGUUGUGAAAAGGCCUGUCAGCUGAAGCUUACACUACCAUUUGCUAAAAGGCCUAUAGCCCAUGCUGACAAUACACUCUUAUAUUUGUGCUUCCAGGCUCCAGAUAAUCCCCUCACUUUCCUCCUCAGCAGUCCAGUUAUGAUGAGGCUUAAAUUGCAUAUUUUGGGGGGUUUUAAAUCCAGAUUUUGCUGAUAAAUGCUAUCAGCGGGAAUGAAAUGAAAUACAGCACGGUUUAGCUCUUAUUACCAGCAUUUUGUGAGACAGUAUUCAUAUUGAACAGGUUAAUAUCUAGAAUGUCUAUAGUCACAGGAAGUAAACGUAAGAAUGCUAAUAUCAGCUUUUAUCUGCUUUGUCUGUUAAAAAAAACCCCACCCAUCCUUCAAACAGAGCAUUUCCCAGAUUCUUUAAUUUGAUUUGCAAAGGGAAAUAAGAUAACCAGCUCAUUCCAAAUCCACAGCCAAUUGUUUUAUGCUCCAAGAUACCACCAAAUUACCCAUUAAAUGCCACAGAAGGUAGAAAGUGUCUAAAUCCCCAAAGCACACUUAAAACCCCAACAUUUUUCUUGUAAGACUGUUAAAAAAAUUACCAAAAUAAAAAGUUGGUCACCAACCCAUCUCAAUCUGAUGCAUGUUUAUGAGGGUAAAAGGAUACAAGGUGUGAUCUUCACACCUGUAACUUUAGGACUGCAUGACUUUAAUUAAAGAACAACACAGCAAAAAGUAAAAUUGCUUCAGAAACUCAGUCUCACUUGAGGAUUGUCAGGGAACACAACACAGUAACCGAGGUUAAGCACUUGAUAUCUUGUCUCUAAGAAAUUUAGUUUCCAACCAUUAUGCAACAACAAAGAAAUUAUAUCUUUAAUUCAUUACAAGAUUUUAAAUUGCCUAAUUGAUUAAGAGACAAUUACACUUUCUGAAACUAUAUGCGGUUAUGUCCCUGUGAAAUAACUUUAUGUUUUCCUUCUUAGAUGAAACAUCCUUUUUCCCUGUAGUUCUAAAAUAUUCUAAUAUAGUACAGUAGUGCCAGAGGGAUUUCUGUUUCAUUGCUUUAUGUUGUCAUUUGGAAACCAACUUCAGAGCAACAUUUUUCAACCCAUGGUCUGAGACAGUCUGGAAGGAGAAGACAGAGAGACUGCAAAAAAUCCUGUGUAAAGCAGUCUUACUGUUAACAGAUUUUAGCCUGAUCCCUUUUUCCCUGGAAAGGGUUUUCAGGUUUUC
Molecule: non-coding RNA, 2425 nt
Organism: Taeniopygia guttata (zebra finch)
Lineage: Eukaryota; Metazoa; Chordata; Aves; Passeriformes; Estrildidae
Source: RefSeq, a predicted model, not a curated record